UGGCGGCGUGCUUAACACAUGCAAGUCGAACGGGUUUAUUGGGUGUAGCAAUACAUUCAAUAGAUUAGUGGCGCACGGGUGAGUAACACGUAGGCAACCUACCCUUCAGUGGGGGACAACAGAGGGAAACUUCUGCUAAUACCGCAUACGGCCUUGUACUGGGAUGUACGAGGAGAAAGGAUUUAUUCGCUGAGGGAUGGGCCUGCGGCCUAUCAGGUAGUUGGUGGGGUAAAGGCCUACCAAGCCUGCGACGGGUAGCCGGACUGAGAGGUCGACCGGCCACACUGGAACUGAGACACGGUCCAGACUCCUACGGGAGGCAGCAGUGGGGAAUAUUGCACAAUGGGGGAAACCCUGAUGCAGCGACGCCGCGUGGAGGAUGACGGCCUUCGGGUUGUAAACUCCUUUUGUCAGGGACAAUGGUGAUGGUACCUGACGAAUAAGCCACGGCUAACUCUGUGCCAGCAGCCGCGGUAAGACAGAGGUGGCGAGCGUUGUUCGGAAUUACUGGGCUUAAAGGGCGCGUAGGCGGUGGUGUAAGUCUG
RNAcentral lists this ribosomal RNA (545 nucleotides) under uncultured bacterium. RNAcentral's name for it is "bacterial SSU rRNA". It matches the Rfam family "Bacterial small subunit ribosomal RNA", at positions 37 to 591 of the family's 1533-position model. The record is from RNAcentral.